Molecule: ribosomal RNA, 254 nt
Filed under: uncultured bacterium
Lineage: Bacteria
Description: partial 16S ribosomal RNA
Rfam family: Bacterial small subunit ribosomal RNA
Source: RNAcentral
UACGUAGGGGGCGAGCGUUGUCCGGAUUCAUUGGGCGUAAAGAGCUCGUAGGCGGCUUGGCAAGUCGGGUGUGAAAACUUCAGGCUCAACCUGGAGCGGCCACUCGAUACUGCCAUGGCUUGAGUCCGGUAGGGGACCACGGAAUUCCUGGUGUAGCGGUGAAAUGCGCAGAUAUCAGGAGGAACACCGGUGGCGAAGGCGGUGGUCUGGGCCGUAACUGACGCUGAGGAGCGAAAGCAUGGGGAGCGAACAGG